RNAcentral lists this long non-coding RNA (581 nucleotides) under Suricata suricatta (meerkat). RNAcentral's name for it is "lncRNA (ENSSSUG00005016459.1)". The record is from RNAcentral. Lineage: Eukaryota; Metazoa; Chordata; Mammalia; Carnivora; Herpestidae.
CACACAAGAUAUUCCAGAAUCUGGUUUGGAAUAGAUACAAACCUGUCUUUUUCCUUUUCCUCAGAUGCACGGGAGCCUGAAGGAGGAACAGGGAAUCUGAAGACUCCAGAUGACACGGGAGCUGGUUUUCAACAGCCUUCUCGAUUUCCUUGCUCAGAAAGUAGAUACAAACCUUGGAGCCAGAUGAUUUCCCCAUUUGAAAACUGGAGAUCCGUGUUUCCCUGAGACCAUUCAUGAAGUGGAGGCACUGUAGGAAAAGCAAGGAACACUGAUAUUUGCAUUUAAUUGGACACAAGAUGAAGAAGGAGCAUACGUUCGCUAAGGAUUCUGUCUGCUUGCUUCUGUAGAUCUACGUAUUAAGGAGUUCUUCUUGCUUAGGAGUUGAUCUGCUCUGCGGUCGUACCGCUGUGGAGUUUGCCCACCAUUUAUCUUGUCUUUGCCAGAAGAAAUCCUGGUUGGAAUGAAACAGUGCAUCUCUGUCUGAUUACUAUGGAAGGUGAUAAACUGACGCUCACUUAUUAAAGUUACAUCUCACUCCCCCACAGAAAACCAUUCUUCAACGUGACUAGAAACCAAGCCCU